UACGUAGGGGGCAAGCGUUGUCCGGAAUCAUUGGGCGUAAAGCGCGCGUAGGCGGCCCGAUAAGUCCGCUGUGAAAGUCAACGGCUCAACUGUUGGAUGCCGGUGGAUACUGUCGGGCUAGAGUACGGAAGAGGCAAGUGGAAUUCCUGGUGUAGCGGUGGAAUGCGCGGAUAUCAGGAAGAACACCAAUGGCGAAGGCAGCUCUCUGGGACGGUACUGACGCUGAGACGCGAAAGCGUGGGGAGCGAACAGG
Molecule: ribosomal RNA, 253 nt
Filed under: uncultured bacterium
Lineage: Bacteria
Description: partial 16S ribosomal RNA
Rfam family: Bacterial small subunit ribosomal RNA
Source: RNAcentral